Molecule: transfer-messenger RNA, 399 nt
Filed under: Candidatus Gastranaerophilaceae
Lineage: Bacteria; Bacillati; Candidatus Melainabacteria; Candidatus Gastranaerophilales
Also listed under: 1 other name
Description: Stercorousia sp934691935 Standard tmRNA
Rfam family: transfer-messenger RNA
About the family: Bacterial tmRNA, also known as 10Sa RNA or SsrA, is named for its dual tRNA and mRNA-like properties. Its role is to liberate the mRNA from a stalled ribosome. To accomplish this part of the tmRNA is used as a reading frame that ends in a translation stop signal.
Source: RNAcentral
GGGGACGUUUUGGAUUUGACAGGACGUUCGGUUGAGAUAGAUAGCGAGUCCGAGCGCUGUUCUCGGUUAUCAACGAGCACAACAAAUUAAAUGCUAACAAUGUAAUUAAAGCAGACUUCUCAAGAGCACAAGCUCUUGCUGCGUAGUCAGCUAACUAGCUACUCAUAGAGCCCAGCUUGCCGGUUUUAUGGGUCCAUUAUGCAAGACGCAGUGCAUUAAUGCAAUGUAGAUGCAUCAAGAUAACAUUGCAAGGUUUAGAGUUUCCUUCAAAUAAAACCUUUGGCUGAUUUAAAGGGUUUUGAUUUUUUCCUGAAUCAGUUGAGCUAAUAAAAAUCUACACUCGUAGACGUUUAUCAAGAUCCGUUUUGGACAGGGGUUCAACUCCCCUCGUCUCCACCA